AAGUCGUAACAAGGUUUGCUUCGAGGAUCAAUAACCUGCAGAGAAGCCUUGAAUACUCAGUCUACCAGCGUAGGCAACAUCUUCACUGUGCUUGGAUACCAUCCAAGGUAACAUGCAGCUGCUGACAGCAGUUCACAGAUCAAACGAAGGUGGUCCAAGAAUUUGGAUUCAGAUAUGACCGGCCUACCCCUGAAAAGGUUGUAGACCUUGCGUUCCGUAGGUGAACCUGCGGAAGGAUCAUUACUGAGUAUUUGUCUUUUAUAGACAUCUCUCUAUCCAUAAACUCUUUUUUUAAAAAGACAUGAUUUACACAAUUAGUCUGAAUGUUUAUUUAAAUCUUCAAAACUUUCAACAACGGAUCUCUUGGUUCUC
Molecule: unclassified non-coding RNA, 372 nt
Filed under: Lipomyces chichibuensis
Lineage: Eukaryota; Fungi; Ascomycota; Lipomycetes; Lipomycetales; Lipomycetaceae
Description: partial internal transcribed spacer region
Source: RNAcentral